Molecule: ribosomal RNA, 200 nt
Filed under: uncultured bacterium
Lineage: Bacteria
Description: partial 16S ribosomal RNA
Rfam family: Bacterial small subunit ribosomal RNA
Source: RNAcentral
GAUGAACGCUAGCGGCAGGCCUAAUACAUGCAAGUCGAUCGAUACUUUCCAGCUUGCUGGGAAGGAAAGUGGCGCACGGGUGCGUAACGCGUAUGCAACCUACCUUAAUCAGGGGGAUAGCCCGAAGAAAUUCGGAUUAACACCGCAUAAAAACACAGUACAGCAUUGUACAAUGUUCAAAUAUUUAUAGGAUUAAGAUG